AAAUCCACUGACAGAAAAUGUGGCAAAUUGAUCAUAUGGGAAAUUCCGUAAGAUAGAAUGAAUUGAAGUACAUGAACAUCUGGUUUCGGCAGGUUUUUUCCUGUUUUCCGCAAUGCAGCACCUCAGAAAUAUUUAAGAAUAAUGCUAUAUAAUUCAGAUUGUUCAUUACUCAUAUUAAGCAAUAUAGAUUUCAUAUGCUUAGAUUCAGGUAAAACAACAUUAAGCUGAUACAUGUUAUGAGUUAGAUCAGCAGCUCUUUUCACUGAAAUAUUGGAUUUUUCUAUAGCGAGAGUAAUUGGCCUUGACAGUGGCCAACGAAAAUAGGUGAAAAUAGCAUCUAAGGCUAAAUAUUCAUCAAGACCGAUAGCAUACUAGUACCGUGAGGGAAAGUUGAAAAGUACCCCGGAAGGGGGGUCAAAAGCGCCUGAAACCAACCGGUUACAGACGUUUACAGCUUGAAAGGAUUUAGGUAGAGGUUCCGCAAGGGACUGAAGCCUUCUAGAGUUGUAAGUUCCGUCUAGAAACACGGGCCAGGGAGCUUGUUGUUAUGGCGAGCUUAACCCGUUAAGGGGUAGGCGAAGGGAAACCAAGUUCGCGCAGCAUUAGCAAGGCGAAGGAUCUGAAAGGGUCUUGAGUCAUAGCAAUAAGGCUAGAAACCGGACGAUCUAUUCCUGGACAGGAUGAAGGUGGGCGAAAGCUCGCUGGAAGUCCGAAGGGGUCCUGACGUGCAAAUCGGUCCUCAGAUCUGGGAUUAGGGGUCAAAAACCAAUCUAGUCCGGUGAUCGCUAGUUCCCACCGAAUCGGAUCGCAGUCCUACCUUAGUUGAGAUUGCCUGUGCUGUAGAGCACCGAUCGGAUAGUAAGGGUUCGAAAGAGCUCGCUAACCAUUCGAACUCCGAAUGUACAGGCGUCGUAGAAACUAGGAGACGGGUUUAUGUGGGGUAAGCCUCAUAACCGAGAGGGGGACAACCCAGACUAAAGUUAAGGUCCCUAAAUGUUUGCUAAGUGUCAAACAAAAGGGUGUCUUAGAGCAGAGACAGCAGGAAGGUAGGCUCAGAAGCAGCCAUCCUUUAAAGAGUGCGUAACAGCUCAUCUGCCGAGCUCCGAGGCCCCGAAAAUGGACGGGGCUCAAGCAAACUACCGAUACUUUAGAUCACCAACAAAGUUGGUGUAUGGUAGGUGGGCGUAGUGAUUGGGUAGAAGCUGGGUUGUGAAAUCCAGUGGACCGAUUGACUAGUGCAGAUCCUGGCGGCAGUAACAGCAUAGCCGGGUGAGAAUCUCGGCGACCGAAUGGGCAAGGGUUUCCCGGCAAUGCGUCGUCAGCCGGGAGUUAGCCGGUCCUAAGAACAACCUCAACAGAGUUGUCCGAAUGGGAAACUGGUUAAUAUUCCAGUGCCUUGAAAGAUCGUUACCACCCAUCUUGCUGCUUCAGGAUAGGGCAAGCAGAAUCGUCGUUCUGUCCAAGUUUUCGAGUUUUGGGGAGUGUCAUAAUGACGAGAUCCGAAACGAGAGAUGAAUGGUCCUCCGCAAGGAGGAUUUGCUUGAAUCCAGGAGACACUGAAAACAAGAAUGAGAAGAUUCUUUCAAGACCGUACCGAGAUCCGACACUGGUGCCCUAGAUUAGUAGUCUAAGGUCUAUCGGGUAUACCGUAUGGCGAGGGAACUCGGCAAAAUAGCUCCGUACCUAUGGUAUAAGGAGUGCCUGCGGUUUUCAUGAAGAAUGGGAACCGCAGGUCGCAGUGACAAGGGGGUCCCGACUGUUUAAUAAAAACACAGGUGGUCGCUAGUCCGAAAGGAUGUGUACGGCCUCUGUAUCCUGGCCAGUGGCGGUACCUAAAACCUGGGUUCAACUGGGCUAAGGGCCGCUAAACGCCGGGAGUAACUCUGACUCUCUUAAGGUAGCCAAAUGCCUUGUCGGGUAAGUUCCGACGUGCAUGAAUGGAACAACGAGGGCCCCGCUGUCGCUACCGUACGGCUAACCCGUUUUUACGGGGACAUCGGCAGGUGGGCAGUUCGGCUGGGGCGGCACCCCCUUGAAAAAGUAUCGAGGGGGCCCAAAGAUUGGCUCAAGCGGGACAGAACUCCGCUGUUGAGGGCAAAGCCAGAAGCCAGUCUGACUGGAUCUCCAAUGAUACGAGAUUCAGAGGCGAAAGCCGGGCUUAGCGAUCCAUCAUGUCCCCACUAUUGGGGGCUGGUGGUGACAGAAAAGUUACCCUAGGGAUAACAGGCUCGUCGCGGGCGAGAGCUCCUAUCGACCCCGCGGUUUGGUACCUCGAUGUCGGCUCUUCCCAUCCUGGUUCUGCAGCAGGAGCCAAGGGUGGGGCUGCUCGCCCAUUAAAGGGGAACGUGAGCUGGGUUUAGACCGUCGUGAGACAGGUCGGUCUCUGCCUGACAGGGGUGUAGUUGUUUGAGGGGAAGUUGCCCAUAGUACGAGAGGAACAGGGCAGCGCAGCCUCUGGUUUAUCAGUUGUCCGACAGGGCAGGCUGAGCCGCUAAGCUGUUUAGGAUCUUAGUUCAGUUCGCCAGUUCGUCAAAUUGUUCUUUUGUAUGACAAUCUUUUUUAUUUCUUUUUGAUAUUUCAUAAUCGUAAUAAAUAGGUCUUGU
RNAcentral lists this ribosomal RNA (2603 nucleotides) under uncultured archaeon. RNAcentral describes it as "bacterial LSU rRNA". It matches the Rfam family "Archaeal large subunit ribosomal RNA". The record is from RNAcentral.